This is a long non-coding RNA of Clarias gariepinus (North African catfish), 668 nucleotides long. RefSeq lists it as uncharacterized. The record is from RefSeq and is a predicted model, not a curated record. NCBI's taxonomy places the organism in Eukaryota, Metazoa, Chordata, Actinopteri, Siluriformes, Clariidae. The transcript is spliced from 3 exons.
UUGUACUGAUUAGUUUCAAGAACUACAAUUAUAAAUUAUUCCAACUCAAUAUUCUUUAUUUUUAACAACAAAAACUUAAAUAAUUGAGUAAAUUGCCCUGUGCAAGUGCUCAUGGGAAGUCUGGUGUAACAUCAGAGACAAGAAGGCUGUGAGGAUGUGAGAAUGGACAUGAAGCACCUGGAACAUUCCUUACAAAUCCUGCACCAACACCACUAAUGAAGAGAAGUUGAAUGGAGAUAAAACAGGAGGUGCCAGCAUUAUGGGAUGGCGGUGUAAGCUCUGCACAUUUGUCGCAUCAUCAAAAGGAAUUUCGAUCAUUACCGAGUGAAGCAUGGUACUGUUGGUCAUGGAUAUUUAGUGUCCUGUCUUCAUUUAGACUGUCAUUGCUUCUUUAAGAUUUGAGAAGGUCUGCACACACAUUUGUAUGGAUCCCACAGUUUGCAGGAAACUGAAGUGUGAAGGUGUGCAAUCUUUCAGAUGUAAAAUGUGACUCAUUAGAUUCUAAUACAAAAGUCUACUUUCCAUGUGUUAACUGUAUAAUACUUGUGGCGUAAGUAUUGUUUCUGAAACUGUUUACUAAUAACAUAAAUUCAGCUCUUUGUUUAUGAUCUUGUUACAUGUCAUUUGCAAAGUAAACCAGGUUGAGUUUAGACUUCAUGUCUUGUCAA